This 253-nucleotide ribosomal RNA is filed under the name uncultured bacterium. RNAcentral's name for it is "partial 16S ribosomal RNA". It matches the Rfam family "Bacterial small subunit ribosomal RNA", at positions 524 to 776 of the family's 1533-position model. The record is from RNAcentral.
UACGUAGGGGGCAAGCGUUGUCCGGAAUCAUUGGGCGUAAAGAGCGUGUAGGCGGCUCGAUAAGUCUGCUGUGAAAGUCCAGGGCUCAACCCUGGAAGGCCGGUGGAAACUGUCGGGCUAGAGUCCGGAAGAGGCGAGUGGAAUUCCCGGUGUAGCGGUGAAAUGCGCAGAUAUCGGGAGGAACACCAAUGGCGAAGGCAGCUCGCUGGGACGGUACUGACGCUGAGGCGCGAAAGCGUGGGUAGCAAACGGG